GGAAGGAGAGGCUCAUGGCAUCUGGUGAACUCUCUUUGGCUCUCUUGGCAACUCUGGGCAAAGCUCUGACUUGUGAAUAGACACUUGGAUAUGAAUCCCAGCUUGGCUGUUAGCUGUGUCUACUGCACUGAACCUUGGGGUCCUUGGCUAUCAAAUCAAGGAGAAUCCGUAAACUUUCAUCUGGGGAAGGGAUUGGAGAGAACAUUGAUGCAUACUUGAUGCUGGAUGGAGAAGGCACGUGGAAGAUGGAGUGAGUAAAGAGAGAUUUGAAGACGAUGGCAUGGAAGCCUGGAGUGAGAUGGUUAUAAACCAGGGUUUGCUGGCAGCCAUCAGGAGCUAGAAGAUGCAAAGAUGGAUUCUUUCCUAGAGCACAGCCUGUAGACACCUUGAUUAUUGCCCAGACUCUGGCCUCCAGAACUGUGCAGCCAGCUUUGGGAGGGGAAGAAAACAGCUGAAGGAUGCAGGCUGCUGAGGAUUACAUGUUCUGCUCUGGGAUGAAUUGGAAGCACCUCCAUUCCUGGAGUCCAGAGAAGAUGGGGCUCCAAGGUCACCAAGUCCUGAUUGU
Long non-coding RNA from Tupaia belangeri chinensis (Chinese tree shrew), 565 nucleotides. RefSeq lists it as uncharacterized. The transcript has 3 exons. The record is from RefSeq and is a predicted model, not a curated record. NCBI's taxonomy places the organism in Eukaryota, Metazoa, Chordata, Mammalia, Scandentia, Tupaiidae.